UUUUUAUUUUUAUUUUUUUGGAGUGAUAGAUGUGAGAGAUGUGAGAUGUAAGUGAGAGAGAUGAUGAUGAAUAUUUGUGUAGCAGAAGAAAUUGAUGUGAUGGAGGAAGAAAAGAAGAAGUACACGUGAGGGAAUAAGAGAAAGAGGGGAGAAAAUAUCUUUUGUUUUUUUUCUUCUGAAAAUUUACCUUCAUGCUAUAGUAAGUGACAUAAAAUGGAAGCCUUAUUUCCACUAUACACACGUGUCCUCCCGUUAUUUUUU
Molecule: long non-coding RNA, 261 nt
Filed under: Lathyrus oleraceus (garden pea)
Lineage: Eukaryota; Viridiplantae; Streptophyta; Magnoliopsida; Fabales; Fabaceae
Description: Pisum sativum (pea) long non-coding RNA (PSAT_LNC001071)
Source: RNAcentral